GCUAUUGUAAUAUUAUCCAUUCCUUUAACCGUGUUUGUAAAUUAGAAACCGCUUUGCUACAAUGUUUCUUGCGAGCCUUCAUAGAGCUCGACACAAUUUAGAACCGCAUGCGCGUUCUGAAAACAGUUCAUUCUGAAAAUCAAGCUGCGGAUCCUGUUCUCCCCUGGGGCGGGUAUUUCUACAGUUCAGAUGCGGGCAGUAGCUCUGCGGAUAGUUUUGGGAUUAUUUGCUACGCCUAGAAAAAGGCAACGUUUAACAUGCUUGGAGGACUGACGAGGUGCCACUCUAGCAACGGGAAAAAUAAAUGUCUGUGGUAUUUCCGGUAGACCUUUCGCUGUCAACAUUGACAAGCAAAGGAACAAGGAAGUUAAAAAGUCGAGGUUUUUACAAGCGAUAGUUUAUCAAUUACUGAGCAGUCACCAGUCUAUACUAGAAGCGGUGUACAGGGAUAUGUCGCGAGGGUGUCAUCCUUAAUUAGUACAAGAAAUCGAGAUAUUUUUAAAGCGAUUACUCGCUACUGACAAUAAACUCCUCACCAUGAGCGAACCGAGCCGUAGAAUGUGUAAAAUAGUUCUUCGGAUUUUUAGCCAGUUGUUUUGGCUUGCUGCUCUAGUGAUAGCCCUAAGUGGUAUUUUCCUCCUGAUUAAUUUCAAGCACUGCCGACUGUUCUUCAAGGACGAAUCCAUCAUCCUUCCAGCACUCCUGGCUGUCGUGGCAGCCUUGUUUCUUCUUGCUGCUGGUAUUGCUGGCUGCUGUGCGUCACAGAAAGAAUCGCCAUGUCUUCAGGGCAUUUUUGUGUAUUUUCUCAUCAUCGUGUUUUGCUUGGAAGCCACUGCAGCAGCUUUAUCUUAUAUCAACGUUGAAAAGAUGGGAUCAGAGCUGGCUCCGUUUGAGAGGGUCUUUCACCAGUACAACGACAGCAGCAAGGACCCUGACACACAGGCUGUGGAUUUCUUACAAAAAGAGCUCCAUUGCUGCGGAGUGCAUGGCUUCCAGGACUGGCAGACAAGCCCAUGGUUUAAUGAGAGCGGGCACACCAGGGUACCACUCAGCUGCUGCAACUCGACCUUCACCAACUGCACCGGAAGUGUUGACCAGCCGGAACUUCUCUUUACAAAGGGCUGCCAGGGGAAGCUGGAAGAUGUUCUGUCGUUCAUUCUGCAUUUAAUACUCUGGUCUUCGGUGGGUGCAGCUGGGAUUCAGGAAAAUACCCAUCAGAUCGCAAUUGAUUGCACCUGUACCGAAAUCUGACAGCUUCUAUCAAAGUGAAAAACAACAUCCACAAACUUGAACUUGAAACUUAUCUAUAAACUUCAGGUUGUGGGGCUCGUCAGUGUGUCUUUACUAAUGAAAGAAUCCCCGCUGCAAGAAUAUCGAAUCUUAGACAGAGAUCCCUUUUCCUAAAUCAUGGUGAACGCAGAGACAGCAUCGUCCUUCAUCCCUUCAAACACAAUGGCGAUGUGUAUCAUGAGGAAGUGAUGUAAAUGUGUUUAAAAUAAGUUUCAAAUUACUGUAUAUUAUUGGGCUUUCAUCAUGCUACAACCCACUGAUUCCUGCUGGCUUGUGUGGUUUGUCUUUAUGCAGGAUAUAAAACAGGAAUUAGGGUCUGCUGCUCGUAUAUUUUAAGCAGGGACAUGCUGCUGACCUACCUGUGAGGUUAAGUUCAUUCCUUAAAGACUUGGUUCUCAAAUUCUCAAAUAUAACUGUUGAUUUUAAAUGUGUAUGUCCUUCCAGUACUACUCAUAAAAGACAAUACUCAAAGCUUCUAAGACUUUAUUCUUGUGAUAACCAGGAAUUUAAAGUGUUCAGGACCCCCUGCAGUGUUUACAAGAAACACAGUACUUUACCACUGCUGUAUCUCGUGUUGUCAUCAUAAUAAUGAUUGUUCCGAUAUAUAAUCAUUCACACGUCACAGGUGAAUAAACUAGGGAGUUAGUUUUUCAACUUUUACUCGGUCGCCAGGAGAAAGCGCAGUGUAUCCAGUUCAUGCUCCCUCCUGCAACAAUGAGCUGAUUGAAAUGAGUGUGUAUUGUGGGAACAGAAAACCAGCAUUGUUGCAGGAGGGAGCGUAAUCUGGGUACACUGCGAUCCUUAGAAGACAUUUGUUUUUCUCCUGGCGAAUGCUCCCACGUGAAUGUUGAAGUGUAUUGGCCAUUUGAUUUAUGUGUGAUUAAGAGUGGGCAAUAUGUUUAAAAAAUAUAACCCUGCGAUACGGACAGCACGUAACGUCUUGUAAACUUGCAGGGUGUUCUGCAACGCUUAAAAAAAAAAAAAAAAAAAAAAAAAAGGCGAGGAUAUAACAGGAACCUAAUGUUUGUUAUUAGUAUCUAUAUUUAUUGCUGUUUUUCCUUUUUUCAAGAACCCUUUUAUAGUUUGUAAUGCUUGAACAGUUCUUCCGUGUAAAUUUCUUUCACAUGUUGUCGUUUGUUGCCAUGCAUACUAAUUGUUCCAGCUUCUGAUUGUGGCAGAGUGGGGUGAGGAAAAUAUUUUUCUUAUCUUUUGGGGACAAAAAGACUAAACCCACUAGGACCCUGUUCACAUCACUGGGCCGGCCCAGUUAGACCUGCAACCCCGUUCACAUUUGCAUUUUUAAGGUGCCUUUGCACGUUCACAUAUGUAACUGAAAAGCAAGCCUAAAAUGUGGCAAACUGAUUUUUUGUUUUAUUUUUAUGGAAGGCUAGACUGCACAGAAUGGAAGUUACCUGAUAUACAGUAAUCCUUUUGUAGCAGAUGUUUCUUAUUAAUAUUUUUUUCAGUGCAUCACAGUAACAAUUUUAUGGUAUAUAUUAAAAAAAAAAACUAUUGACUAUUUUGACGGUGACGGUCCGAGCUUACCCCCAUCCACAAUCACAUUAUUCUCUUAAGAACACAGAGGUAUUUAGAAUACGGGAAACGGCAACUUGAUAGUGUUGACAGAUAUAAAUAUUUAUUUUCAUAACGGAUACUUCACUGAGAUUGCAAAGGUUGUACACAGUGACUGACAUUCACAAGACAAACUCACUGACCACCUAAUAGUACUACUGCUCCCUCCUUAGGAAAGACACGGCAUUAAAUAAUGUUAAAUACAUUACACGUGUUUCUUCUCAUGUAUACGUAUUUGUUUAAUCUGCAUGAAUACCGUCUCUGUUUCCAAACGCGAUUGUUAAACUAUUCUGUUGUUUACUCGUUAUUAUUAUUCUCUAGUCCCUAACCAUUACCAGUAAAGACUGAUCAUUAGCAUUACCCCUUCUCUUGGAAGACUGUCAAACAUAUGGCUUAACAAAACCCUUGUCCCACAAAUGACAACUUCAUUAAGGGAAUCGCCCUAAUCUAAAUACAGCAAUACGCCGUCACAUAUUGAAUACACAUUGCUCAACAACAUGCACAAUACAUAGUAAUAGUGCAUCAACAAUCUUAAUAUUUGUGGAUGAGAACAGUAUUUUGUGUGUGUAAAUGCAAGCAGCUAAAAUAAAUGAUCUGCAUUUGAAUGUAAAGAUGCACUCUUCUGCUGUGUAUAUUGUUGCAUGCAAAAUAAACAAUGGUGGCUGAAUAUGCCAAGUCACCAGCAUUAUUGAUCAUUAUUGAGAUCCACAAUCCUGCAGUUUUUAUAUUUAUCGCUUAUUUACUAAAUAACAGGAAAUGUAAUUGUGACAAAUUAAGCAUAAUUAUGAAUGCACUGCAGCUCGUAUAUUGUGAAAGAAACAACCUGAACGUUAACCUGCUAGAUUUGUAUUGAUUUAAUAUUUAUAUAAUUAAAGUUGUAUGAUGUAGAAAUAAUUACCCUUCAAUACUGAUCCUCUGCCGUCUUGCCUAGCACAGCAUUCUGUUUACCUUACCUUUUCUUUUUUGGAGCGUUCACAUAUGAGGCCCUAGGCCGCCUCAGAUCGCAAGGCCUAGGUUUUUAUUCCAUAAUAUAUAUUUUUUUUGUUCCAUAAAUCAGACACCGCAGGUAAUUUAUGCUGAUUUGGAUGUUCUCUGUUAAAUCGGGCUGCCACACCCCAUCAAUCUAAAUUCACACCUGAAACAAACAGACACACAACCAAUAUUAACAAGUAUGUCUGUGAUGCCUGUCUUAUGGGAACUCCUGCGUAAAUGUAUCAAGUUUGUAAGUGGAACUUGUCUGCAGUUAUGAUAUUUGUUUCACUGUGUACAAAAUUCACAAACGGUGACACUCUGGGAUUAUUUUUUACAAUCUGCAAUAAGAUACCAAAAUUAUAAUUAGAGCAAUAGAAACUUUCACACAUACCCAUGGUAUUGUGACAAGAAUAUAUCCAUAACUGUAAAUCACUCAAUAGUGAUAAAUGUAUAAAUACUAAAAUAAUGAUUUUUUGUGAAAAAGGCAACUAAUUUAAAAGUUUGUCUAGAAUGUAAGUUUUUUUUUUUUUUUUUUUAAAUAUGUACUUCCACACUCCACAACUCUGGUUUAAGCUUUACUAGAUAUUUUCUCUUUACUUUUUGUCUUUACUUUUAGAUGCUGCAUCCAAAUUUCCUUUAUUAAUGUGUUUUUUUUUUUUGUGUGUGUUUUGUUUUUUUACAAAUAUUUUCUCUACCUCAUUGAUCUUAAUAAAUCAUCUGAAUAUUC
Acipenser ruthenus (sterlet) is the source of this 4561-nucleotide RNA transcript. It is a transcript of the gene named tetraspanin-3-like, with no coding region annotated. The record is from RefSeq and is a predicted model, not a curated record. The transcript is spliced from 8 exons. Lineage: Eukaryota; Metazoa; Chordata; Actinopteri; Acipenseriformes; Acipenseridae.